Molecule: transfer RNA, 92 nt
Filed under: Deltaproteobacteria bacterium
Lineage: Bacteria; Pseudomonadati; Myxococcota; Myxococcia
Also listed under: 1 other name
Description: tRNA-Ser
Rfam family: tRNA
About the family: Transfer RNA (tRNA) molecules are approximately 80 nucleotides in length. Their secondary structure includes four short double-helical elements and three loops (D, anti-codon, and T loops).
Source: RNAcentral
GGAAAGGUGGCCGAGUGGUUGAAGGCGCACGCCUGGAACGCGUGUAUACGGGGUAACUCGUAUCGGGGGUUCGAAUCCCCCUCUUUCCGCCA